This 842-nucleotide long non-coding RNA is filed under the name Brassica napus (rape). Its description in RNAcentral is "long non-coding RNA (BNAP_LNC017102)". The record is from RNAcentral. Lineage: Eukaryota; Viridiplantae; Streptophyta; Magnoliopsida; Brassicales; Brassicaceae.
GCCCCACUACAUCCCAUUUGGAUUGAAAAAAGUUUGCAGAGAAACCGUCGGGUCUUGGUGCUUUGUCUGGAUGGAUGGCAAUACAUGUACGCUUAAUUGCUUAUUCCUCGUCUUUAUUCUCUGUAUCGGCAGUGUAAAAGAUAUAUGAGGUUUUAUAUAUAUGAGAGGGAGGGAGAAGCCUGACACAAAGGCAUUAUGUGUAUUUUAUGUGUCUAAUAUUAUGUGACAUAUUAAAGUAAGGAUAAAUUAAAUAUAGCUACACGAAAACAGUUAAAAUCUAUAAAAUUAUAAAAUUAAGACUUUGAUAUUUUAAUAAUUUAUAAAAUUAUUAUUUUGAAAAAAAAGUAUAGCAACAACUUUUAUAUUGCAAAGAUGAAUAUUUGUUGUAUGACUGUUUGUCUUACCACGUCUAGUUGUAGAGUUUUUUUUUUAGAAAUUUGCUAAUAAAGAACAAAAAAACUUAUUAAUUGUCCCCUUAGAAUAGUAUUAGGGAUUUUUGUCCACUUAGAACUAAUGUUAAGGUAAACCCAAUUUUAACCCUCUAAUUAUACAAUUUUUUUUUUAAAAAAAAAACUAAUUUUCAUAGUCCCAUUUACUCAUUAUUUACCCGACUUCAAAAACACGGUUUACCCGUCGCAGAGUUUUCAAGUAUUCUCGCCGGCGUAUCUUCGUUCGUCACCUCCACCUCUCUCUUAAUGACCCACCCGGAAAACUCUGAUAAAUCCUCUCUCUGGCAUCUCUUGAAUAUCUAGUUUCAUCUUUUGUGAGUUUAAAGGUGAAUUUUCGUUAUUUGGUUGUUUGCCUUUGUACAGAGAAAUCGCACGGAUGAUCUGAUGAACAAA